UCCACCUGAAUCUUUCAUCGAACCUAGGGUUUUGGACGACAACAUCUCGUUAGUGGAGGACGAAGCCUCAGUCGCCUGUGGCAUCGAACAAAACCAAUCAAACUCAAACCAAUCACACAAAUCCAUUCACGCACAUGUACUUAUAUAUAUAUAUAUAUAUAUAUAUAUAUAUAUAUAUAUAUAUAUAUAUAUGCAUUGUUGCUUUCUCGAUGGGGUCAUAAAAAACAACUUAAUUAUCAUGACUGUAAAAAUUACAAAUCACAAAAUACCAAUCAAGCAUUUUAAAUUCAUUUGAAUACAUAUAUAAGAAAUCACCAAACAAUUUCAAUACUUUUGUUUGUAAAGGAAAUAAUUUCAAUACUUGGAUCCAAUAAGUGAUUGUUUCAAUUGCACUUCAACUACAAUAUAAGUAAAUAAUCAAACAGAACAAAUUGAUAUAUGUAUAAACGAUCGAAUAGACAACAUAAUACCAAUGUAUAAACGAAAAUUAUAAGAAUGUAUGGAGCUGACCACAUAUCAUCCAUAUAAAUAUUAAUAAAGCAAGUUGAAGAUACAUGGAGUAAGCUGCUUUAACAUAUUAUCUUGAACUUGUGCCCACUUUUCCUCUAGUUCUUGAAUAACCUCUUCCAUUGAACUUAGAUUCAUAUGGAUUCAUUUGAAUAUCUGAAAGAUCAAAUUUAUGUCUUCACUGGAACAUAUUAGUUUCCCUGAAGAACCAAACCAAAAGGUAUCACCAAUUAGACCAACAAUAUAUCUUACAAAUAAGAUUAAGAAUAUUAGAAACAGAUAAUCACAUAAAAGAAUGGAUUCCAUUUUACCUCAGAACACCCUUGUCAACAUAUAAACAAUUUUACAUAUAUUAUAAAAGAAUAAAAUAGAAAUACUAAAAAUUCUAGACAAAAUUGGGGAGAAUAUAAGAGAUGCAACUUUGAAAAUUAUGUAUGAGAAAUACUGGAUCAUAGUGAGCAACACUCACCUCAAAUACUGAAACACUUCCUAAUUAAAUUAUGAAAAGUAAUGUGCAGUGUAUUCCAUCUUUAUUCUAAGCUUAUGAAUAAUCUGAAAUGCAAAAAAAAUUCUUAACAACUAUUCAAAGUUAGUAUAAUACCCAUAGGGAGGAGGCAGCCAAUCUUCCUCUUCCGUGUCUUCACCACAAUCAACAAUUUGUAUGACUUCCUCGUUCGUUGGUCCCUUUUCAUCCUAAUUAACAUAAUUAAACAGCUACACGAAAGAAACUGCAGUAUAAUACUAAAAGCAACCCAAAUCACAUAUAGUUGUGUUAAGAUAUUAUAAUUGAUUUUAUUUUGUUCCUUGUAAUAGUUGAAUAGUACAUCUUAUCUUAUUGAAUGUCAUACCCAUACGACUAAAUUUAUAGCUCCCUUCAUAUGAAUAUCAUUCCAUAAUUAAUUUGGACAUUGAGGUUGCAAAUUCGGCCUUAUGUGAUCUCAAACAAUGUAGUUGAUUUUGUUAGAAAAUUCUAAUUAUUUCAAACAUUCUGUUAAUUUGGAUAUAAAUAUUUUGUAAUAAUAAAUAUAAAAACGUGAAUAAAAUAUAACUAAAUGUAUCCAUUAUUCUCCACUCUUGUAGCAUGCACUAAAGAGAAGAUAGUAGUAGUAGUAUCAUGUACAACUCCUAUUAUCCUGCCUGCAUUAAAUGUAUUGAACGUAAUAAGUGAACGUGGUGGUGGUGGUGGUGAUGGUGAUGGUGGUGGUGGUGGUGGUUUUACUCACCAAAGAUAGAAGAAAUGGAUCAUGUGAUAGGAAUGAGUGGCAGAGUGUAAUGCAGGCCUCAGAAUGUGAUAGGAAUGAGUGGCAGAGUGUGAUUCACAUGGGAAUCAUGUGCAUCAAAGUACCAUAUAGUAUACGUAAAAUGAAGCUAACAUGUAUAAAUGUACAAAAAAAGAGAAUUAAUAUGGCAGUUCCAAACUGAAGGUUUUGCAAAGCAAAAGAACUAAAGCAAAAAAUUAAUAAAUAGAUUAUCCACAUUGAAGUGCUAAUUUGGAACUUACAAAGCAUUCCAUCAUCAUCAUUGUUUGGAACAUCAUCGCCAUUGUCCUGCACAGAACAUAAUUGGUUUAGAUGGCAAAAUAGCAGUCUCCCUUAAAAAUUAAUACUAUAUAGCAGCAAAGAUCAACUUACCCCCAAUAAUCCUCAGAGUCCAUAUCAGUUGCAAACACAUACGAACCAUAUAUAGAUCUUCUUCAGACUGAAACAUAUUGCAUUGAUGAACCCCAGGCUUUUAGUAUAGUAGGUGGCUUAUGCAGAUAAAGUGUUUCCCUAUAUAGUUCCACGAAAAAUAUAAUUAGAACAAUGAAUCAUCUUUUUAUAGGAGUUAGUUCUUAUUCCAAAAACAUGAAAAACUAAAACCCUCAUUACAAUUGAGCAAUUAUGCCAACACAUAUAUACAAUUGACACAUGUGGAUAUAUUUAUUUCGAGAUGCAAAUGCCAAAUGGGUAAUCCAAUCAAACCAUUGAGACUACCAAAUAUAUAUGGAACUAAUUAAUCAAAGAGUGAAUACCUCAACAUUGAGACUGACAUCGAGCUCCAAUCCAUCAUUAGAGACCGAAAAAUCAACCUAAUUCCUUCUUUCUCGGUUCAAUAUCUUUAAUCAUGCAAGCAGAAUUAAAACAUACCACUCAAAUCAUAAUCCAAAACAAAACACUAAUUACUCUACAUAAAAGCAAAUUAUAUGCAAAUAUGAGAUGAAAUUGAAGUGAAUUCUUACAUACGUGAACCGAUUGAAGAGUUUAAAACAUAGUAGGUGGAAUUUAGAAUCUAUGAACUAAGAAUUUUAGAGGGAGAGGGACUACAGACUACAGAGAACUCCCGUCGAUAUAGCUUUUCUCUUUCAUCGGGCAAAUUAUAUGCAAAUAUGAGACGAAAUUGAGGUGAAUUCUUACAUACAUGAACCGAUUGAAGACGUUAAAACAUAAUAGGUGGAAUUUGGAAUCUAUGAACUGAGAAUUUUAGAGGGAGAGGGACUACAGACUAUAGAGAACUCCCGACGACAUAGCUUUUCUCUUUCAUCGGGGGUUUGGUUUGGCGCUACCUCCUCCUUUUUGACUGAAACCAGUCGGAAAGCUAAAGAAAAUCCUCCAAUAAACAAUUGUGUUACAAACCUGUCCUUGAUUAUCCAAUCGGGUUUGUUGCAUGCAAAUAAAUCCGGGUUUGGCUUAUCUAUUUUCACGUGUAAUUUAGCGUUGGACUCGCCAGUUAACGUCGUCGUCAUCGGCAAAAAAAAUCGAACGAUCGACAAACUCCAUUGUUUGCAAUUUAUCGAAUUGCUCCACCCAAAAAAGCCCCAAAUCGUAUUCAUUUGUCAAAGUUUAGGGUAAAUCAUAGAUAGAGAAAAGAGAUUUGGGAUGCGUGUGGGAGGAGGGAGAGAAACGGAACAAAAGAAAAAUUGAGGAAAUCAAUUUCGCUGAGAAGGGGAAGGGAAGAAACUGAAGUGAUUGAAGAUAAGGUAGUGAAGAAGAAACAAAUGGUUUAUGGCUGAGGAAGAGGAAGGGAUUAGCCCAUCUCAAUAAAUAACUCAGUGAAAUUGCAAAAUUUGCUUAAAUUGAUUAUGAGUCAAUUUCAAAUUGGAUUGUCUUUACUGCCUUUAUAUAUAAG
Molecule: long non-coding RNA, 3612 nt
Filed under: Panax ginseng (ginseng)
Lineage: Eukaryota; Viridiplantae; Streptophyta; Magnoliopsida; Apiales; Araliaceae
Description: long non-coding RNA (PGIN_LNC010784)
Source: RNAcentral